This 253-nucleotide ribosomal RNA is filed under the name uncultured bacterium. RNAcentral describes it as "partial 16S ribosomal RNA". It matches the Rfam family "Bacterial small subunit ribosomal RNA", at positions 524 to 776 of the family's 1533-position model. The record is from RNAcentral.
UACAGGGGGUGCGAGCGUUAAUCGGAAUUACUGGGCGUAAAGCGCACGUAGUCGGCUUUGCAAGUCGGGUGUGAAAUCCCCGGGCUCAACCUGGGAACUGCAUCCGAGACUGCAUUGCUAGAGUAUGGGAGAGGGAAGCGGAAUUUCUGGUGUAGCAGUGAAAUGCGUAGAUAUCAGAAGGAACACCAGUGGCGAAGGCGGCGACCUGGGCCAAUACUGACGCUGAGGUGCGAAAGCGUGGGGAGCAAACAGG